Penaeus monodon (black tiger shrimp) is the source of this 161-nucleotide small nuclear RNA. RefSeq annotates it as U1 spliceosomal RNA. The transcript has a single exon. The record is from RefSeq and is a predicted model, not a curated record. NCBI's taxonomy places the organism in Eukaryota, Metazoa, Arthropoda, Malacostraca, Decapoda, Penaeidae.
AUACUUACUUGGGACAGGAGAUACCGUGAUCAUUUAAGGGGGUUUUUCCAAGGCGAGGCUCACAUUGCACUCCGUGGCGCGACCCUUUGCAUUAACCCAAAUUUUGGGGUUACUCGAGUGCGCAAUUUUUGUUAGUUGGGACUGCGUUCGCGCUAUCCCCC